GAUGUGCGAGGAGAGUGUCUCUGUUGAAGAUUUUGAAGGAUGAAUGCUAUUGUAGAAAAAUUCAGAUCUUGAUAAUUUAAGUCUAUAAAUCUUAAAAUUUAAAAUGAUUGCUGAUUUUGUUUUUCUUUCACCAUAGUGAAGAAGAAGAAGGAGAAAAAAUAAUUGAGUGUGAUUUUUCAAAAACUAAACAAUGAGAGUUGAUAUAGUGUUGAGGGUCCAUGAUAAGAUCUUGUGAGAUAAUUUGACCUAAAAAUUAAAAUAUGUGGUACACAAUACAAGACAUGAGAAUGUCUUUUAUGUUAGAAUAAGCAUUUUAAUAUAAGUGGGAGAAUAGGAAAGAAAAUGUGAUAUUUUUUAAUUGAUAUUAAAGGAGAAUCCAAUACUAGUAAUACACAUAAUAUUCUUUAAUACUUUAUUUCAUUUCAGUAGCAUCAUAUUAUUUUAUUAUAGUACAUAAUAAUAAGGUCCGUGAAAUUUGAAAGCUAAAAGAAAAUUAAAUUAAUGGGUGUCACAUAACAACUCAGAAUCUAUAUGGUGCUUAAUAAUUAAUAACGACAAAC
This 560-nucleotide long non-coding RNA is filed under the name Trifolium pratense (red clover). RNAcentral's name for it is "long non-coding RNA (TPRA_LNC012123)". The record is from RNAcentral. Lineage: Eukaryota; Viridiplantae; Streptophyta; Magnoliopsida; Fabales; Fabaceae.